This 239-nucleotide ribosomal RNA is filed under the name uncultured Veillonellaceae bacterium. Its description in RNAcentral is "partial 16S ribosomal RNA". It matches the Rfam family "Bacterial small subunit ribosomal RNA", at positions 112 to 334 of the family's 1533-position model. The record is from RNAcentral. Lineage: Bacteria; Bacillati; Bacillota; Negativicutes; Veillonellales; Veillonellaceae.
AACACGUAAACAACCUGCCUUCAGGAUGGGGACAACAGACGGAAACGACUGCUAAUACCGAAUACGUUCCACGGGCCGCAUGACCUGUGGAAGAAAGGGUAGCCUCUACCUGUAAGCUAUCGCCUGAAGAGGGGUUUGCGUCUGAUUAGGCAGUUGGUGGGGUAACGGCCCACCAAACCAACGAUCAGUAGCCGGUCUGAGAGGAUGAACGGCCACACUGGAACUGAGACACGGUCCAG